UUGGUCGCUCGCGGAGCUGUAUUGUUCUUCCAUUUCCGCACGCCUCGUGCCGGACCGUUGCUAUAUAUUAUUAGCCGUGUUGCUACACAGCUGAGCGUUUUGUGCUGCGCGUCGAGAGGAAAACGGUGGGGAGAAAAAAAGUGGAUUUGCGGUAGUUUCACCGCCGGAUUUUACAGGUUUUCUAUCGCUUUGUUAACUUUAUUUACGAACUCCUUCAAAAUGGAGAACGAGAACAAAUAUCUCCCGCAGCUGCUGGCGGAAAGAGACAGCCUGGAUUCGUCCUUCAUACAUGCUAUGAAACUUUUAUCUGCAGAAAUCGAGAGGGUUCAGAAAGAUGAGCCAGAAAAAGACAACGAAACCUACUUGGAUCUCUUCACAGCAAAGAAUAUCAAACUGAAGGAAAGAGUUCUUAUUCCAGUCAAACAGUACCCAAAGUUUAACUUUGUUGGGAAGAUUCUUGGGCCUCAAGGGAACACCAUUAAGAGACUGCAAGAGGAGACGGGCGCCAAGAUCUCAGUACUGGGCAAGGGAUCUAUGAGAGACAAAGCAAAGGAGGAGAGCUUGAGGAAAAGCGGUGAGCCCAAAUACGCCCACCUGUCCAUGGAACUCCACGUGUUCAUCGAAGUGUUUGCUCCAGCGCCCGAAGCGUACAUGCGCAUGGCCCACGCUAUGGAGGAGGUUAAAAAAUUCCUCUUCCCUGACAUGAUGGAUGAAAUUUGUCAGGAGCAAUUCAUGGAGAUGGGAUAUCUAAACGGCAGCCAUGAACAUGCCGUCCGAGGCAGGGGAGGCCCGAUGGCCAGGGGGCGUGGAGGACCCCCGCCACCCAGGGGUCGAGGCAUGGCACCAAUGCGUGGCGGUGUUCCGCGUGGUGGUCCAGCCAGAGGAGGAGCAGUGAGAGGAGCUCCAGCAGGUCGUGGUGGACCACCAGCUCAACCCGGCAGAGGCGCCACUGCCAACAGAGCUCGCGCUCCUGCCCCUGGAUCACAGAGGAUGCCUCCUCCACCGCGCCCUCCUGCCCAGGAGUCUUACGAAGACUAUACUUACGAUGAAAGCUACACAGACUCGGGCUACGAAUCUUACGACAGCUAUUACAGUCAGCCACAGGCAGAACCAGAGUAUUAUGACUAUGGACACGGCGAGACACAGGAAAGCUAUGAGAAUUAUGCUCAAGAUGACUGGAACGGAACACAGCGUGCUUCUGCCAGCGGGAAAGUAGCUGCUCAGAGACAAACAAAGGGAGCGUACAGGGAGCACCCGUACGGACGAUACUGAACUCUCAACAAGCACAACGUCAUCACCCAUAAUGUCCCAUCAUGACGACUGUCUCCCACGGCAGCUCGCUCUUUAAGCAACCUGACAAAAGGAACUGUGCUUCAUGAGUUCCAGGGAUGGAAUCAGGGUUUGCGGCUUUUUUCUCAGGGAAGACCGAUUUGCCGUAAAGAGGCGGUCUUAAAUUUCAGCAGGCAGGCUUUUUGGGGAAGGAACUCUGAAAUCUGCAGAGACGGAGUCGAAGCGAAGUUCUGCCGGACGCCUUUCAAAAACUGGCAGAAGCCGGAAUGCUAGGAAAGUGCGUCUUAAAAAGGAAAGAAAAAAGGAAAUCGAUGCUCUCCUCGGCGCUGCUGCCAAAGCAUGCGGGCACUUAUUGAGCUGGAGCGGAAAGCGGCUUAUGUGUCCUACAGCGUCCAGUGGUCGUGUUUGUGUGCGUGUAUGUGGUCACAUAUUGGAAAUGUGUCUGGCUCAUUGUUGUCUUUGUGAAGCUUCCAGCCUCUUUUUUUUUUUUUUUUUUUUUUUACAAGGGACGUAUUAAGCUAUUUCUAAAGCACACAUCCAGAAAAUGAACAAUAUUGUUUUUGUCAUUGUUUUUUUUUUUUUUGGGAACUCAUUACGUACCUCAUUUGAUGGCAAUGGGGUGGGUGUUUUAUUUAUUUAUUUACUUAUUUUUUCCCCCUCCUUUGGGGAGAUGGGAGGAUAAAUGGUGGGACACUUGGACUGCCACCCACUCAGUGAAAGUAAUUUACUUUUCUAUAUCUCUUGUCUUCACAUUUACAAUAUUCACUGAACCCUCGUGCACAUUGCUGUAUGGUACAAUCUUUACUGUAAUGUAUACACACAAACGUAAAAACCUACCGAUUUGUGCACUUCAGCUGUUUUCUUUGUACGAAAAUAAACGCAGUUGUCUUUGCAAUAACAAAAUUGCAGCAAAAUUGGAUUCUUGCUGAAUUCUGAGACUCCUUUGCGGUGCUACAUGUACACUGAAAACUGUACGUGUGUAAAAGGGUAGUGGGUCAUGUAUAGCAUUUGGAAAAUAUUGUGUUUAAAAUCUACACCAAAGAUCUUUUUUUUUUUUAAAUUGGUGUGUGAAUGAUAGCUUUUUAUCUGCCUGAGGUGUUUGAUUUCUUAUCAUUUUUUUUCAUUUACAAUAACAUGCAGAACUACAGUAGAAAAAUGAUUAAAGCAGUGUGAAAGUUCUACUUGUUGUAUUUGUGCUGUUGGACAGCACAGGCAUCAUCAGACACCUUUUCAGUCUCUCACCGUGUUUCUCGUUUCAGACAAACACAGCUAGGCUUUUGUGACUAAUGCAUUGCAGAGGCAUUGAUUGUUUUUUUUAAAAAAAUGUCCAUGUGAGUAUUGUUACAGUCCUGAAAAUUGAAUUGUAGUGUAUUUUAUUCCAGAGUACAAGCACAUAGCUGCGUCAGUAUGACGUACACGUAGGUCUUUAUUUCAGCGCCGCAGUGCCACCAGGGCCUGUUGCUCCACCGAGCCAGAAUAAUUCCUUCGCCCUAUUGAGGAAAGAAGUGUUUCGAACGCACAGCGGUGUGCGCCGGCGUGACGAGCCGAGAAUUGGGCUUUGGAGCUGAAAUGUCUUACCCGAGUCCGUGUGAGCAUUGGAGCAGAUUCUCAGCACUACAUUUUUUUUAAAACCAUAUUCACACCAGAUGGAAAAAACCAUGCUAGCUUGCAUGAUGAUUAAGCAGAGUUUCAUAGAAUUAAAACCACAUUUCAAACCCAAGAAAUAACCAAGAGGGAUUUAAAAAAAAAAAACCUGUGUGUUAGGACAGAUCUGUUUACACACUCCAGCUUCUUGAAUAGAAACAUAUUGAAAGCCCACCGAAGCUGUAUGGAUAAAGAUUCGACAAAAGUCCCAGAGGGGUUUUUUAAACCUUCAACUUUUCAGUCCAUGCUUUAGCCUCUGGUUCAUGAUGAUUUCUGACUUUAGAGGAACCCAGUAUGUGGUGUGAGAAAUUAAAGAUUGCAUGCAUCCAGAUUCCGCUCCAAGUUACACGUCGGAACGAGCUCAUUCCCAAAAAGGCUUAAGUAUCAGGAGGCAAUGCGUUUUAAAUGAAAUAAAAAAAUAAUUAACCUUAAUUAAUUGUUAGUAUGGAAGCGUCUGCAGGACAUCAAGCACCGUCACCGUGAUUACCCUUUAAACCGACCAUCUAGAUGAUCUCACCUGUAGCAAUAGCAAGCCAAGGUGAACGAGACCAUGAUUAGCAUUUAAAGACACCCGGCUAGACAGUAGCAUCACCCAGGCAUUUGGGAAUUACACAAUUAAAAUGAAACCCCAUUUAAACUACAAAGAAAAAAUGUUUGACCAGGUUUUGUCCUACGUUGUUCUUUACUCUGAUGAACCCAAAGUACUUCAUGUAUUUUGUCACUGCUACACUUGAAUAAACUACUUUAUUAAUA
Molecule: RNA transcript, 3687 nt
Organism: Tachysurus fulvidraco (yellow catfish)
Lineage: Eukaryota; Metazoa; Chordata; Actinopteri; Siluriformes; Bagridae
Gene: khdrbs1b
Gene name: KH domain containing, RNA binding, signal transduction associated 1b
Exons: 11
Source: RefSeq, a predicted model, not a curated record